RNAcentral lists this long non-coding RNA (287 nucleotides) under Brassica napus (rape). RNAcentral's name for it is "long non-coding RNA (BNAP_LNC026265)". The record is from RNAcentral. Lineage: Eukaryota; Viridiplantae; Streptophyta; Magnoliopsida; Brassicales; Brassicaceae.
GAGAAUAAUAAACCCAAAAGCAAUUCAUUAGAUUAAGCAUUCAUGUUCCUAAUAAAACACUAGAAGAUACACAUUAGAUUAAGCAUUUUUCUCCUAAAAGUUAGAAUUAAAGCCGAACUAUUUACAUUUAAAAAUUGAUUCUCACAAAAUCUCUUCUACGGUUGAAGAGAGACACUCUGGAGGUUCAUAAUUUGACAUCCUGUCAACCAGUUCCGGGUCGUUAGCUGGUUCCCAUAGAUCCCACAAAACUCUGUGGCGAGCUUCUUUGAUGUUACCAUCAUUCACCA